RNAcentral lists this small nucleolar RNA (84 nucleotides) under Macleaya cordata. RNAcentral describes it as "Small nucleolar RNA SNORD34". It matches the Rfam family "Small nucleolar RNA SNORD34". Rfam says of the family: snoRNA U34 is found in intron 5 of the ribosomal protein L13a gene in humans. U34 is a member of the C/D class of snoRNA which contain C (UGAUGA) and D (CUGA) box motifs, and functions in directing site-specific 2'-O-methylation of 25S rRNAs. Although the selection of the target nucleotide requires the antisense element and the conserved box D or D' of the snoRNA, the methyltransferase activity is thought to reside in one of the protein components. The record is from Rfam by way of RNAcentral. Lineage: Eukaryota; Viridiplantae; Streptophyta; Magnoliopsida; Ranunculales; Papaveraceae.
GGUGGCCUAUGAUGAUCUGCAAAUUUUGCCUACAUUGUUUGAUUUCUAUUCAUGAUAAAAAAUUGCAUCCCUUCUGAGGCCUUC